Molecule: unclassified non-coding RNA, 738 nt
Filed under: Hevea brasiliensis (rubber tree)
Lineage: Eukaryota; Viridiplantae; Streptophyta; Magnoliopsida; Malpighiales; Euphorbiaceae
Source: RNAcentral
AUGAUUUCAAAUUCUGAACCCAAAUUACAUAGUAACUAAUAUUACAGAGGAAGCACAUAGUUGUUUUCCUUUUCAUUGACAAAAAGUUACAUGAUAUUACGAUAGUGAACUUUGCAGUAGUGUCCUUCACUUUUGGGCUUUUUCUGCAUGCAGGGAUGUAAGGAACUGCUUGAGACACUUGUUAUAAACGCAAGGUCGUUCUAGGUGAACCAGAUGCCCUGCCUUGUCUAUGCCAUGAAAUGUAGUCUUCUCACCCAGUUGAUGUUUCAUGUUCUGAGCAAGCUCCAAAUUGAAAAUUUGAUCAUUCUCACCCCAGAGGAGAUGUAUUCUCUGUGGAAAAUUUGGAAUACUUGUGUCUUUGUUGCUCACCACCAACCCUUCUAGCAGCUCUCCUCUUUCCUUUCUGUUGGUGAACAUUACCUCGAGAAAAUCUCUAUGAAGACGAUCAGGGAACCAAAGCUUCUUGUAAGCAGCCACUUUUAGCAGGGCCUUAAGACCCUUAACAGAGGUAGGCAGCAGCAGCUCCGAAGAAGAUGAAAAUCCCAAACCAUUGAGCGUGGUAGUGCUAAUGGAAUCAGUCAUCGCUAAUAUCGAUCCAGACACCACCAACGCCUCAACUAAAUCUGGAAACAUUUCCGCCAUCUUAAACGCCACCAUUCCUCCAUAACUAAAUCCAACCACUACGCAUUUUUCCACGCCUAAUUUCCUCAGCCCUUUACCCAAACACUCUGCUUGAAA